This 242-nucleotide ribosomal RNA is filed under the name uncultured bacterium. RNAcentral's name for it is "partial 16S ribosomal RNA". It matches the Rfam family "Bacterial small subunit ribosomal RNA", at positions 333 to 592 of the family's 1533-position model. The record is from RNAcentral.
UUUCCCCUACGGGAGGCAGCAGUGGGGAAUAUUGCACAAUGGGGGAAACCCUGAUGCAGCGACGCCGCGUGAGUGAAGAAGUAAUUCGUUAUGUAAAGCUCUAUCAGCAGGGAAGAAAAUGACGGUACCUGAGUAAGAAGCCCCGGCUAACUACGUGCCAGCAGCCGCGGUAAUACGUAGGUGGCAAGCGUUAUCCGGAUUUAUUGGGUGUAAAGGGCGUGUAGGCGGGAAAGCAAGUCAGA